Molecule: ribosomal RNA, 449 nt
Filed under: uncultured bacterium
Lineage: Bacteria
Description: partial 16S ribosomal RNA
Rfam family: Bacterial small subunit ribosomal RNA
Source: RNAcentral
AAUGAACGCUGGCGGCAGGCCUAACACAUGCAAGUCGAACGAGGUAGCAAUACCUAGUGGCGGACGGGUGAGUAACGCGUGGGAACGUGCCCCUUGGUACGGAAUAGCCCUGGGAAACUGGGAGUAAUACCGUAUGUGGUCGAGAGACGAAAGAUUUAUCGCCAAGGGAUCGGCCCGCGUUGGAUUAGGUAGUUGGUGGGGUAAUGGCCUACCAAGCCGACGGUCCAUAGCUGGUUUGAGAGGAUGAUCAGCCACACUGGGACUGAGACACGGCCCAGACUCCUACGGGAGGCAGCAGUGGGGAAUCUUAGACAAUGGGGGAAACCCUGAUCUAGCCAUGCCGCGUGAUCGAUGAAGGCCUUAGGGUUGUAAAGAUCUUUCAGUGGGGAAGAUAAUGACGGUACCCACAGAAGAAGCUCCGGCUAACUCCGUGCCAGCCGCCGCCGUAA